Molecule: non-coding RNA, 457 nt
Organism: Gopherus flavomarginatus (Mexican gopher tortoise)
Lineage: Eukaryota; Metazoa; Chordata; Testudines; Testudinidae
Source: the annotation of a RefSeq genome assembly
UCCCCGGCCCCGAGCUGCACCUUGCGAGCUCUGUGUUGUCCCCGCCUAGCGCACAAUGGACUCUCUGCUCCUCCCCCUGCUCCUCCUGGCUCUGGCCCCGGGUGUCUGGUCCCAGCUCCGGCUCCAGGAGUCCGGCCCGGGGGUGCUGAAGCCCGGAGAGACCCUCACACUCACCUGCGCUGUCACCGGGGGCACCGUCACCAGCAGCAACUACUGGAACUGGAUACGCCAGGCCCCGGGCCAAGGGCUGGAGUGGAUGGGAUACUGGACCGGGAGCACAAGCUACGCCCCGUCUCUCCAAGGCCGAAUCACCAUCUCCGUGGAUUCCUCCAAUACCAAAUAUUAUCUGCAGCUGAGCUCGCUGACACCUGCAGACACUGGCACCUAUUACUGCGCCAGAGACACAGUGACACAGAGCCCAGCAGGGCCCCGUGCAAAAAGGAGAAGCGGAUUCUGA